This 712-nucleotide ribosomal RNA is filed under the name Sculptolumina yunnanensis. RNAcentral describes it as "mitochondrial SSU rRNA". It matches the Rfam family "Bacterial small subunit ribosomal RNA", at positions 370 to 1210 of the family's 1533-position model. The record is from RNAcentral. Lineage: Eukaryota; Fungi; Ascomycota; Lecanoromycetes; Caliciales; Caliciaceae.
AAUAGUCGAAAGGCUGAACCAGCAACUUGGAAGAAUCUAAAAUUUCCUAAGAAAAUUCUAAAUAAAAAGUGAUGAUGACAAUUUUUAUUUAUAAGUCUUGACCAAAUUACGUGCCAGCAGUCGCGGUAACACGCAGAAGACUAGUGUUAUUCAUCUUUAAUGGGUAUAAAGGGUACCUAGACGGAUUAUCAAGCCAAAUAAAGGGACUAAUUUUCUAGAGUUUAAUGAAAGAAUGUCGAAUUGCUGGAGGAGAGUCAACAUUUUUUGAUACCAGUGAGACGGAUAACAGCGAAGGCGCGAUUCUAUGUAAUAACUGACGUUGAGGUACGAAGCCUGGGGUAACGAUAAGGAUUAGAUACCCUAGUAGUCCCAGGAGAAAAUAAUGAGUGUUAUAUACUAGCCAACUAGUUUAUAAAUGAAAGUGUAAGCACUCCACCUCAUGAGUAAAGCGGCAACGCCGGAAUUGAAAUCAUUAGACCGUGUCUGAAACCAGUAGUGAAGUAUGUUAUUUAAUUCGAUAAUCCGCGAAUAAUCUUACCACGUUUUGAAUUUUACAAGCGCUGCACGGCUGUCUUCAGUUAAUGUCGUGAGACCAUGGUUAGUUCCAUUAAUUAGCGCAAGCCCUUUUUUUAUUUAUUAAAAUAAUUUAAUCCGUUGCUAUAAUGCACGGAAUAAUAGGGAUCAAGACAAGUCAUCAUGGCCUUAAUAACGU